RNAcentral lists this transfer RNA (63 nucleotides) under Dictyophorus spumans. Its description in RNAcentral is "tRNA-Asp". The record is from RNAcentral. Lineage: Eukaryota; Metazoa; Arthropoda; Insecta; Orthoptera; Pyrgomorphidae.
AAGGAAUUAGUUAAAAUAACAUUAGAAUGUCAAACUAAAAUUGCUUAAACAAAGCAUUCCUUG